AGUUGCCGUGCUGGUUUCUGUACAUGUAGUAUAGGAUACGAUCUGGAUGUUGCUAGAGCAGUUUGCAGGGACUUAAGAGAGUGUACCACCUUCGGAACAGAAUACAUCCAUUUCCCAGGACAGGUUAUUUGGAAAGAAGAUAUAGAGUCAAACCCCUCCUCAUAUACUGUAGCACAAUGUGUUCAAUUAUGCAAUGAAGCUUCAACGUAUGUAUGUAGAUCAUUUGAAACAGACACCAGACUCAACGGGUGCUACACUCAGACAAUCACGUGGCUUGAUGUAACUGAGAACAAACAUUUCUACAAUGACCGUUAUGAUCACUACCAACGAAAGUGCACCUGGGGGGUCAUAUAGAACAUGUCGCUUCUGACAAUUACAUGCAUGCUGUAUCUGAUGAAAUGAUACAUAGAGGGUCAUG
Molecule: long non-coding RNA, 418 nt
Organism: Haliotis rubra (blacklip abalone)
Lineage: Eukaryota; Metazoa; Mollusca; Gastropoda; Lepetellida; Haliotidae
Exons: 2
Source: RefSeq, a predicted model, not a curated record